GGGGCGUCCCUUCUGGGACGCCACCGGCGGACGGCUCAGUAACACGUCGGUAACCUACCCUCGGGAGGGGGAUAACCCCGGGAAACUGGGGCUAAUCCCCCAUAGGCCUGGGGUACUGGAAGGUCCCCAGGCCGAAAGGGAGCCGUAAGGCUCCGCCCGAGGAUGGGCCGGCGGCCGAUUAGGUAGUUGGUGGGGUAACGGCCCACCAAGCCGAAGAUCGGUACGGGCCGUGAGAGCGGGAGCCCGGAGAUGGACACUGAGACACGGGUCCAGGCCCUACGGGGCGCAGCAGGCGCGAAACCUCCGCAAUGCGGGAAACCGCGACGGGGGGACCCCCAGUGCCGUGCCUCUGGCACGGCUUUUCCGGAGUGUAAAAAGCUCCGGGAAUAAGGGCUGGGCAAGGCCGGUGGCAGCCGCCGCGGUAAUACCGGCGGCCCGAGUGGUGGCCACUAUUAUUGGGCCUAAAGCGGCCGUAGCCGGGCCCGUAAGUCCCUGGCGAAAUCCCACGGCUCAACCGUGGGGCUCGCUGGGGAUACUGCGGGCCUUGGGACCGGGAGAGGCCGGGGGUACCCCCGGGGUAGGGGUGAAAUCCUAUAAUCCCGGGGGGACCGCCAGUGGCGAAGGCGCCCGGCUGGAACGGGUCCGACGGUGAGGGCCGAAGGCCAGGGGAGCGAACCGGAUUAGAUACCCGGGUAGUCCUGGCUGUAAAGGAUGCGGGCUAGGUGUCGGGCGAGCUUCGAGCUCGCCCGGUGCCGUAGGGAAGCCGUUAAGCCCGCCGCCUGGGGAGUACGGCCGCAAGGCUGAAACUUAAAGGAAUUGGCGGGGAGCACUA
Molecule: ribosomal RNA, 832 nt
Filed under: Pyrococcus sp. NS102-T
Lineage: Archaea; Methanobacteriati; Methanobacteriota; Thermococci; Thermococcales; Thermococcaceae
Description: bacterial SSU rRNA
Rfam family: Archaeal small subunit ribosomal RNA
Source: RNAcentral